This is a non-coding RNA of Phthorimaea operculella (potato tuberworm), 83 nucleotides long. The record is from the annotation of a GenBank genome assembly. Lineage: Eukaryota; Metazoa; Arthropoda; Insecta; Lepidoptera; Gelechiidae.
GCCGCUGUAGCCCAGUUGGUAGAGGCGUCGCCAGUACAGAUGGCGAUGGCGCAGUGGCUCUAGUUCAAAUCCAGCCUGCGGUG